CUGAGUUUACGCUCUAUAACCCUUUGUGAACAUACCUAUAACUGUUGCUUCGGCGGGUAGGGUCUCCGUGACCCUCCCGGCCUCCCGCCCCCGGGCGGGUCGGCGCCCGCCGGAGGAUAACCAAACUCUGAUUUAACGACGUUUCUUCUGAGUGGUACAAGCAAAUAAUCAA
RNAcentral lists this unclassified non-coding RNA (172 nucleotides) under Colletotrichum gloeosporioides. RNAcentral describes it as "ITS1". Lineage: Eukaryota; Fungi; Ascomycota; Sordariomycetes; Glomerellales; Glomerellaceae. The record is from RNAcentral.